CCGAGACUCGAAUCCGGGUCCUCCAGAGUGGAAAGCCGAAGCGUUUCCACGCGGCCAAUCCGGCCGACGAUAUUUAAUGUUUAACCGAUCAGCGAAUAAUGAUAGACGAUAUAAAGUUUAUUUUUAUGGAGAAAAUAAAUAUCAACAUGCCUGAUACGAGACCAAGAUCUUUACAAUUUACUGUAUAGAAAAAUGCAAAAUAAUUAAAAUAUAAAAAUCAUUAUUAGUGAGAGAUGCCGAAAAUUUUUACAAAUUAUAGAGGUAUUAAAUCGUUCUGGCAGAUAUAUAUAGAGAAAUGAUCUGAUGUCUCUUAUAAAUUCAAAAAACAAACGAUAAUCAACUGUAUAAAUUCGCAGCAUAGACAACAUUUCUUCUGAAAAGCACUUACAUUGUGAUGGCGGGUUGUCACAUUUCUUCAGAAAAGCAUUAUCUAACAUCAGCUUGUGAUGGCAGAAUUCAACGAAAUGCUAAACGCGCUAUUGAAUAUGAAUAUCUUACCCGGGAUUCUGUUAGGUUACUAAAUGAAGGAGAGAUGAAAUUCAAAUAUUCUAUGGUGAAUAGCAACUUCGCACUAUCUCUUUCUCUACUUCUCACCAUAAACAAUUAAGAAAGCGAUUCUAAUUGAAGAUGGGUUUUUUUUAAUUUAAUUGUUUAUUAUUCGAUAAAUCGUGUAUACUGAUAAAAAGGAGAGUAUAUAAAAUAUUUAUGAAGGGUUUACGAAAAAAUGAGAUUUUUAAAUUAACUUAAAUAUACUCUUUGGUAAACCAUUAGAGCAUUAGCGCAAAAUACAUCCAAUGGCAUUACGAAUGAAUUUAAAAUUAGUUUUAA
Molecule: long non-coding RNA, 828 nt
Filed under: Androctonus crassicauda
Lineage: Eukaryota; Metazoa; Arthropoda; Arachnida; Scorpiones; Buthidae
Source: RNAcentral